This 254-nucleotide ribosomal RNA is filed under the name uncultured bacterium. Its description in RNAcentral is "partial 16S ribosomal RNA". It matches the Rfam family "Bacterial small subunit ribosomal RNA", at positions 524 to 776 of the family's 1533-position model. The record is from RNAcentral.
CACGUAGGGACCAAGCGUUGUCCGGAUUCAUUGGGCGUAAAGAGCUCGUAGGCGGUUCGAUAAGUCGGGUGUGAAACCUCCAGGCUCAACCUGGAGACGCCACCCGAUACUGUCGUGACUAGAGUCCAGUAGGGGAGCGUGGAAUUCCUGGUGUAGCGGUGAAAUUCGUAGAUAUUCGGAGGAACACCAGUGGCGAAGGCGGCUCACUGGUCCGGUACUGACGCUGAGGUGCGAAAGCGUGGGGAGCAAACAGG